RNAcentral lists this small RNA (135 nucleotides) under Buttiauxella gaviniae. RNAcentral describes it as "RtT sRNA". It matches the Rfam family "RtT RNA". From Rfam's summary of the family: This family represents a bacterial cis-regulatory element known as RtT RNA. The exact function of RtT is unknown although it is thought that it may be involved in changing the cellular response in relation to amino acid starvation. RNAcentral also lists the same sequence under 1 other name. The record is from RNAcentral. Lineage: Bacteria; Pseudomonadati; Pseudomonadota; Gammaproteobacteria; Enterobacterales; Enterobacteriaceae.
GCUAUGCGUAAUUCGUGAAGGAUGAGAACCUGCAGCAGGUUCGACAAAAUCGUCGGGAACGAUUUUGCAUCACCGCUUGCGGUGACCCGCAGGGCGAGUCUCGAAAUGAGACGAGUCAUCCUAUACGCCCCACCA